AAAAACGGGAAAAUUUCGAUUUUUUUAGGUGAAAAUUUAACGGAUAUUUGAAAAAGGGCUUAUCUAUUGCUCGGUCCACAAACAUCUAUGAAAUGACAUUGGUUAAGGUAUUGUAGACUAGUACACAAUACGACAUCAAUGAACAAUGAGCAAAAUUAUUACCGUAUAGUCUAAACCGGGCCUGACAUAACCAAAUGAAUAAAAAAGAAAAAAAGGAAAGACCAACGUAAGCAUGAAUGACAAAAUAAUUAAUGAGAAAAAGGCAUGCAGCUCACCUUAGCAA
Molecule: long non-coding RNA, 283 nt
Filed under: Mytilus galloprovincialis (Mediterranean mussel)
Lineage: Eukaryota; Metazoa; Mollusca; Bivalvia; Mytilida; Mytilidae
Source: RNAcentral